Molecule: ribosomal RNA, 1232 nt
Filed under: metagenome
Description: bacterial LSU rRNA
Rfam family: Bacterial large subunit ribosomal RNA
Source: RNAcentral
UGAAUACGAGAUGCUACGGCAUCGAAGCAGUCUAUGUCAUACUUCCAAGAAAAGCUUGCACUGUCAUAAACAAAUAAUGCCUGUACCAUAACCGACACAGGUGGGUAGGUAGAGUAUACUAAGGGGCGCGAGAUAACCCUCUCUAAGGAACUCGGCAAAAUGACUCCGUAACUUCGGGAGAAGGAGUGCCUUAUUUUAUAAGGUUGCAAUAACAAGAUCCAAGCAACUGUUUACCAAAAACACAGGUCUCCGCUAAGUCGUAAGACGAUGUAUGGGGGCUGACGCCUGCCCAGUGCCAGAAGGUUAAAGAAGUUGGUUAGCAUUAGCAAGCUGAUAACUGAAGCCCUGGUGAACGGCGGCCGUAACAAUAACGGUCCUAAGGUAGCGAAAUUCCUUCGGGUAAGUUCCGACCCGCACGAAAGGCGUAAUGAUUUGGAUACUGUCUCGGAGAGGGGCUCGGUGAAAUAGACUUGGCUGUGAAGAUGCGGACUACCUGCACCAGGACAGAAAGACCCUAUGAAGCUUUACUGUAACUUGAGAUUGAAAUUGGACUUUAUUUGCGCAGUAUAGGUGGGAGACGUUGAAAAUAUUCUUGCGGGAAUAUUGGAGUCAUCAGUGAGAUACCACUCUUAUAAUGUUAGAUUUCUAACUUUGUAUCAUUAUCUGGUCAAAGAACAGUCUCAGGCGGGCAGUUUGACUGGGGCGGUCGCCUCCCAAACGGUAACGGAGGCGCACAAAGGUUUCCUCUGAACGUGUAGAAAUCGUAUCUAGAGUGUAAAGGCAUAAGGAAGCUUGACUGUGAGACCUACAAGUCGAGCAGGGACGAAAGUCGGUCUUAGUGAUCUGACGGUGCUGAGUGGAAAGGCCGUCACUCAACGGAUAAAAGUUACUCUAGGAUAACAGGCUGAUCUCCCCCAAGAGCUCACAUCGACGGGGAGGUUUGGCACCUCGAUGUCGGCUCAUCGCAUCCUGGGGCGGUAGUACGUCCCAAGGGUUGGGCUGUUCGCCCAUGAAAGCGGUACGCGAGCUGGGUUCAGAACGUCGUGAGACAGUUCGGUCCAUAUCCGGUGUAGGCGUUAGAAUAUUGAGAGGGGCCUUCUUUAGUACGAGAGGACCGAGAAGGACAUACCUCUGGUGUACCAGUUAUCGUGCCAACGGUAAACGCUGGGUAGCUAUGUAUGGAGAGGAUAACCGCUGAAAGCAUCUAAGUGGGAAGCCCACCUCAAGGUAAG